AUCAAAAACCAGAGCCGACCAAGUAAACUGGAAAAUCCUCCGAGGGAAAGCGGAGAUGGUGGGUGGUGUGCGAGGAGCGAGCAAGAGGCGACCGGAUGCCGUCCGGACGCGGGCAGUGAUCGUGAGCUCUCGCGAGAGAAUUGGACGACGUCGUCGCGCAAAUGGGGAGAGAGAGAGAGAGAGAGCGCCACGCGACCUCAAAACGCACACGAAUCGGAGCCAAAAAAGCCGGUUGGAUCCACCAGCUUCGAUCGUCGCUGCCGACGCCGUCCGAGACUCCGUCUGAUGGGUUGUUGGAGGAGUCUUUUCUGGGCCCAUGGCAGAUCUAGGUUUUCCUGCAGUCAGUUUGGUGAUGCCAUGAUUUUUUAUACCUCCUAAAAGCAAAACAAUUAUGUGGUGCCAUUUGCUACUUCUGUUGGUGUCAAUCACCACAAGCACCUGGUUGGGUGUGCUCUAGUUGCUGAUGAAUCAAAGGAGCCCUUCAAAUGGUUGUUUGAGACAUGGCUCAGGGCAAUGUCUGGCUGCCAUCCCAAGUUGAUAAUAGCUGAUCAUGACGAUUCCAUUCUGCUAGUGCCUGAACAGGUUUUUCCUUCGAGUCAUCAUCGAUUCUCAAUGGGGCAAAUUAAGACAAAAGAACGUGAGUAUUUGAGUCCAGGGUGUCGCCUGAAGGAGAAGAAAUUCAGAGGGAGCCACUGGGAGCUUGAGAGAGCCUCGUUGUCUGUGCAGGUCGUGUGCACCUGAAGAAGAGAGAGAGAGAGAGAGAGAGAAGAUGGUGACUGCCAUGGAUGAAGAGGAUGUCACUUCUGAAGAGAUGAGCAAGAGAGAUCCUGAUAGCUUUUCUUUUCUUCCCCUUUAUGACACUUCUGGUUUUGUGCCUGAAUGUCCGAAGCUCUCUCUUUGAAAAAAAAAGGCUCGUAUAUGCAUAAUUUCCAGGUAAAAGGAGCUGCGAACAGAGACAUAUAUUGCAAACAGAGGUAUAUACACAUGCAGACAGAGGCGCGUGCAUACAGAGACUGUAUAUGUUCCUUGGCUUGAAGGUCACUGCUAUUACAGAAAAUAGACAAUCUAAGCAUCAAAUGAUUGGUAUCCUACUCGAUUCAAUGGAAAUCAGAUUGAGUCA
Long non-coding RNA from Eucalyptus grandis, 1120 nucleotides. RefSeq lists it as uncharacterized. The transcript is spliced from 2 exons. The record is from RefSeq and is a predicted model, not a curated record. NCBI's taxonomy places the organism in Eukaryota, Viridiplantae, Streptophyta, Magnoliopsida, Myrtales, Myrtaceae.